RNAcentral lists this ribosomal RNA (500 nucleotides) under uncultured bacterium. RNAcentral describes it as "partial 16S ribosomal RNA". It matches the Rfam family "Bacterial small subunit ribosomal RNA", at positions 30 to 523 of the family's 1533-position model. The record is from RNAcentral.
AUUGAACGCUGGCGGCAGGCCUAACACAUGCAAGUCGAGCGGAUGACGGGAGCUUGCUCCCUGAUUCAGCGGCGGACGGGUGAGUAAUGCCUAGGAAUCUGCCUAUUAGUGGGGGACAACGUUUCGAAAGGAACGCUAAUACCGCAUACGUCCUACGGGAGAAAGCAGGGGACCUUCGGGCCUUGCGCUAAUAGAUGAGCCUAGGUCGGAUUAGCUUGUUGGUGAGGUAAUGGCUCACCAAGGCGACGAUCCGUAACUGGUCUGAGAGGAUGAUCAGUCACACUGGAACUGAGACACGGUCCAGACUCCUACGGGAGGCAGCAGUGGGGAAUAUUGGACAAUGGGCGAAAGCCUGAUCCAGCCAUGCCGCGUGUGUGAAGAAAGUCUUCGGAUUGUAAAGCACUUUAAGUUGGGAGAAAGGGUUGUAGAUUAAUACUCUGCAAUUUUGACGUUACCGACAGAAUAAGCACCGGCUAACUCUGUGCCAGCCGCCGCAGUAA